AAAUGGCCAAUGUGAUAGAAAAUGUUUAAUUCAAAAAGUCAAAAAUGCACCUCACUUGAAAUUCAAACAUGCUAGGUUCAAAAAUGCCAUUUUGAUUGGCAAUGUUUUGGCACAUGAAGUUUACAUUUUUGGAAAGAGGAGGUAAAAUGUGGUUUGUAGGAAAAAACCCCACCAAAAUUGGCCAAAUGGUUUGAGAGAUAUGGCCUUUUGAAGUUCAAGAUUUUGUGAAAAUGAUUUGAU
RNAcentral lists this long non-coding RNA (240 nucleotides) under Lathyrus oleraceus (garden pea). RNAcentral's name for it is "Pisum sativum (pea) long non-coding RNA (PSAT_LNC004344)". The record is from RNAcentral. Lineage: Eukaryota; Viridiplantae; Streptophyta; Magnoliopsida; Fabales; Fabaceae.